Molecule: long non-coding RNA, 1321 nt
Organism: Schistocerca serialis cubense
Lineage: Eukaryota; Metazoa; Arthropoda; Insecta; Orthoptera; Acrididae
Exons: 4
Source: RefSeq, a predicted model, not a curated record
AUGGGGGAAACGUUGCAAAAGAAAGUUCGAGAACAAGCGUGGGGUGUGGUGCCCGCAUAGUGUAUUUUGCGGUGAUUAAAAUGAGCAGAAUCAUUGUUAAACUGCCUCGGAUGGACGGGAAAUUAUUGCUACAGAUAAUUCUACAGUAUUAAGCAAAUAUUCGUCAAACAAGCAGAAGUGGCAAUGUUAUUACGAGGGUCGUUGGGAAGUCGUUGUUUGGUGUGAAUGAGGUAGAUAUUUCGUUCCAGCAUUACCCACUGUACUGGCCAAAUAUUACGAUGGAAAUUACGACUUGGAAGCCACUGUGUAAAAGCUGCUAGACCAUCCAUCAGCAGUAAAAUCUCGUCAGAGGCUGCAAUACGUUGCUGAACACAACAGGACUGAAGUAUUUAUUUCUAUGGUGAAGUUCAGUAUAUUGUAUUUUUCAUAACGACGAAACAUAUUGUAAAAGUCAUGAUUCGUCGUCCUCUUGUACAGGAUCAUAAGCUGGUUGUACAUAGGCCUAUAUAAAGUGCUUAAAAUUACUAUUGCCAUAUUAAGCAGAGCACCAGAUUGUGUACAAAGUACCAGCAAUAUUAUUACAUCGACAAAUAUACUAAAAGCAGCUGCAGAAGAAGACAACAAAAGACACUGAUGUCACACGCCUGCUCUGUCAGUGAAGUUGAUGUUCCUGAUAGCCAGUGAUGUGACACGUGAAGCCGGUGCUGCUGCCAAUGUAAACUAUGCUUCAUUUGGCCCGAACACUGACACUUCGCAAUCCAGCACAGCACAACACCGCCCUGGCCACGGAGAAUGACUGUUACAUCCAGGAAAUAAAUGAGACCCAAAUGACAAAUAUGUUGUGUGAAUUCAAUGGCAAUCAUGAGAAGUGUGAUGCAAGUGUUCAGACUUAGUCUCUAACAGAAUUGUGGCCCUUAGGAAAAAAGUGAAAUGACUGCAAGUGAAACUGAAGUGGCAUGAAGAAAAGGUGGAAACAAUGGCAGAAUUGACCAGUGGUGAAAAAAAGAAGCUAUGUAAAUGACAAUCUGAAAAGUGUUCUUCAGGAACAUUUUAGUUGCUUUCCUUUAGAUUUUAUUGUUACCCAAUUGAAAAACACUGAUGCAACGAAGCAAUUCAGACAAUACAGUGAACUAACGAAACAAUUUACCCUCACUUUGUAUUGCUAUUUCCCUGUGGCAUAUAGAUUUGUACACUCUUAUGUUUCUUUUGUCCCACCCCCGGUAUUCUUCGAGGUUGGGUGUCAUCAGUAAAUCCUGAAUUUGGCUAGCUACAACAGGUUUUCUACUAUCUAAAACAAUACCAGUGACAAAUGAUAUCUUAA